UGUGUAUAUGAAUAUAUAUUUUUUGAGUAGGAAUCUCAGUCUGUCACCCAGGCUGGAGUACAGU
Molecule: small nucleolar RNA, 64 nt
Filed under: Carlito syrichta (Philippine tarsier)
Lineage: Eukaryota; Metazoa; Chordata; Mammalia; Primates; Tarsiidae
Description: Small nucleolar RNA Me28S-Am2634 (ENSTSYG00000036732.1)
Source: RNAcentral